This 432-nucleotide long non-coding RNA is filed under the name Prunus dulcis (almond). Its description in RNAcentral is "sRNA ncRNA". Lineage: Eukaryota; Viridiplantae; Streptophyta; Magnoliopsida; Rosales; Rosaceae. The record is from RNAcentral.
AUGAGUGGGAGAACCUACGUUGUGAUAUUCUUCUUCUGGGCUGCCCUCACUCUCAUCACCCCCACACUCAUUUUCCUCUCAGAGACUUCAAAACCCUACUUGGAUUCAAAUGGUAAGAAAUAGUGAGAGAUAUGGAAAAUUUUGUUUUACUGUUGUAGUUGUGCUCUGAUUUCUUGACACUUUGAAAUGAUUUUUGUAACCUCUUUCUCUUCUGCUUCAUGUUUGGCAGGUGAGAAAAUUGAAGGAAUCAAGGCUAGAAGAAUGAUAGAAAUCAUGAGAUAUCAAAGAAGCAGAGCAACCACAGAAGCACCUGCACCAACUCCAACUUCAGACCUGAAACCAGCUUUGGAGACUAGAGAAACCAAUAUUGGAAAGGGCUUGUUAGAAUCUUUGAGAUUGAUGAUCAAAAAUACCAAGUUCAAGUUAACGUGA